ACAACGGUGGCUUUUCAGGCCGCAAUCCUUGGAAAAAAGCCAAGCAGGAACU
RNAcentral lists this transfer RNA (52 nucleotides) under Aptenodytes forsteri (emperor penguin). RNAcentral describes it as "tRNA-Glu". The record is from RNAcentral. Lineage: Eukaryota; Metazoa; Chordata; Aves; Sphenisciformes; Spheniscidae.